GACGAACGCGGGCGGCGUGCCUAAUACAUGCAAGUCGAGCGAAGUUUUUCUGGUGCUUGCACUAGAAAAACUUAGCGGCGAACGGGUGAGUAACACGUAAAGAACCUGCCUCAUAGACUGGGACAACUAUUGGAAACGAUAGCUAAUACCGGAUAACAGUAUUUCUCGCAUGAGAGAUAUUUAAAAGUUGGUUAUGCUAACACUAUGAGAUGGCUUUGCGGUGCAUUAGCUAGUUAGUGGGGUAAAGGCCCACCAAGGCGACGAUGCAUAGCCGACCUGAGAGGGUGAUCGGCCACACUGGGACUGAGACACGGCCCAGACUCCUACGGGAGGCAGCAGUAGGGAAUCUUCCGCAAUGGGCGAAAGCCUGACGGAGCAACGCCGCGUGAGUGAAGAAGGAUUUCGGUUCGUAAAGCUCUGUUGUUAGGGAAGAAUGGAUAUGUAGUAACUAUACAUAUAAGAGACGGUACCUAACCCAGAAA
This 482-nucleotide ribosomal RNA is filed under the name Gemella morbillorum. RNAcentral describes it as "bacterial SSU rRNA". It matches the Rfam family "Bacterial small subunit ribosomal RNA", at positions 28 to 490 of the family's 1533-position model. The record is from RNAcentral. Lineage: Bacteria; Bacillati; Bacillota; Bacilli; Caryophanales; Gemellaceae.